Molecule: ribosomal RNA, 355 nt
Filed under: Cephalops argutus
Lineage: Eukaryota; Metazoa; Arthropoda; Insecta; Diptera; Pipunculidae
Description: partial 12S ribosomal RNA
Source: RNAcentral
UAAAAAUUUAAUUUAAAAUAUUAAAGUAGUAUUAGUUAAGUUCUUGAAAUUUAAAAAAUUUGGCGGUAUUUUAGUCUAUUCAGAGGAACCUGUUUUGUAAUCGAUAGUCCACGUUGAACCUUACUUAAAUUAGUUUAUUAAUUUAUAUAUCGUUGUUUAUUGAAUAUUUUAUUAAAAUAAUAAUUUUCAAAAAUUUUUAUAAUAAAGUAUAUCAGAUCAAGAUGUAGUUUAUGUUUAAGUUUAUAAUGGGUUACAUUAAAAUUAUUUUUGGAAAUAUAUUUUAAAUAGUUUAUUGAAAUUGGAUUUGAUAGUAAAUUUAUAAAGAUUAAUAAUUUGAUUAUAGCUCUAAAAUAUG